Molecule: non-coding RNA, 55 nt
Filed under: unclassified sequences
Description: S4-Clostridia ribosomal protein leader
Rfam family: S4-Clostridia ribosomal protein leader
Source: RNAcentral
GAAAGGCCGUAUUCGUCUUAUACGGCUGGAUGCGACAGAAAGCAUCCCAUUCAAG